UUUGUUACUUCAAACCAAUCGGACUUCGGUCUGACAUCAAGUGAUAUUGAACAAUUUAGCUGAUCGCACGGUCUAAGAACCGGCGACAUAUCCUUCAAAUGUCUGCCUUAUCAACUUUCGAUGGUAGAUUAUGCGCCUACCAUGGUUGUAACGGGUAACGGAGAAUCAGGGUUUGAUUCCGGAGAGGGAGCCUGAGAAACGGCUACCACAUCCAAGGAAGGCAGCAGGCACGCAAAUUACCCACUCCCGGCACGGGGAGGUAGUGACGAAAAAUAACAAGCUGGUCUCAAUGAGUUCCAGCAUUGUAAUGGGAACAAUUUAAAUCUUUUAUCGAGGAUCUAUUGGAGGGCAAGUCUGGUGCCAGCAGCCGCGGUAAUUCCAGCUCCAAUAGCGUAUAUUAAAGUUGUUGCGGUUAAAAAGCUCGUAGUCGGAUCUAGGAUUAGGGCUACGGUCGUUCAGCUUGGACGUACUGUAUGCCCGACUCCUUUUCUCUAGUAUUCGAUUGUUGCUCUUAAAUGAGUGACUUUAGUUGCUGGAACUUUUACCUUGAAAAAAUUGAAGUGCCCAAAGCAGGUU
This 576-nucleotide ribosomal RNA is filed under the name uncultured eukaryote. RNAcentral's name for it is "SSU rRNA". It matches the Rfam family "Eukaryotic small subunit ribosomal RNA", at positions 203 to 786 of the family's 1831-position model. The record is from RNAcentral.